GACAGAAACUGGAAGCAUUGCCCAGAGAGGUAAUCAGAAACACUAUGCUCCCGAGACUUUCCUUAACAGGUGCUCAUUUUUAUCCUGUUUUGAUGAAUGGCUAUACCAGUGAAACCUGCUAUACUGAGAGGACAAAGAGCAUAUAUACUUCUCUUCCCCAACCACUAUCUACCCCACCUUUCCAUAAAGGAAUACAGGUUUAAUCUAACUUAAAAACAAAAUGUUAAAUAAAAGACAAUUAAAUUGAAGACCCCUCCUGGAGAAACUUGUGAGGAUACUAAUAUAGACUCUACCACCUCAAAAACCUAACUUCAAAGAGAUUUUAAAGAAGUCAUCAAUUCCCUCACAUGGCAGACUGGGAUAACAUCUGUUAAUAAAGACUAAAAAAAAGACAAAUAAGAACAUCUGGGCCAGGUGCAGUGGCUCACACCUGAAAUCCCAGUACUUUGGCAAGCCAAGGCGGGCGGAUCAUGAGGUCAGGAGAUCGAGACCAUCCUGGCUAACACGUUCUGUUGCUUUCCAGGAUAUACGCAUGGCUUUAACAGAGUCUAUUACUGGAAUACAGAGAAGCUAUUGAAGUAAUCCUUCAAGGCAUAAGGUCAGAACUUAGAGAAGUCACAGAGUUUAUAUUUCUGAACCUGAUUAACCAGAAAAUUGUUCUAAAGCAAGAAAAGAUAUAUGCUUUCAAACUGUUAUCCUACAACCAAAUCCAUUUUGAAGGCACGAGGAUCCACAAGAUUACUCACCUUCAGAAAAACAGGAAGAUAAGAAAUGCUGGUCUUGGUACAACCUAAUGAAAAGACACAGCUGACAUUUCAUAUGAAGAUAAAAUUGAGAUUGUUUAGAAAGAAUUUAUUGGAGUUAACAUUGAAAGUAACAAUGGUAUUUCUUGUCAUCCCUUUCUAAAUGGCAUAUAUGGUAUGUAAUCUAGAAAAUGUACAUAUACAUGUAGUAGCUUACAAAGCUUCCAAUAAAAAAGACAAAGUCUCAGGAUUUUGCCAUCUAAG
This 1007-nucleotide non-coding RNA is filed under the name Pongo abelii (Sumatran orangutan). Lineage: Eukaryota; Metazoa; Chordata; Mammalia; Primates; Hominidae. The record is from RNAcentral.